Molecule: ribosomal RNA, 496 nt
Filed under: uncultured bacterium
Lineage: Bacteria
Description: partial 16S ribosomal RNA
Rfam family: Bacterial small subunit ribosomal RNA
Source: RNAcentral
GAUGAACGCUGGCGGCGUGCCUAAUACAUGCAAGUAGAACGCUGAAGCGAGGAGCUUGCUCUUUCCUCAUGAGUUGCGAACGGGUGAGUAACGCGUGGGUAACCUACCUAGUAGCCGGGGAUAACUAUGGGAAACGAUAGCUAAUACCGCAUAACAUAAGAUAUUGCAUGGUACCUACUUAAAAGAUGCAAUUGCUCUACUACAUGAUGGACCUGCGUUGUAUUAGCUAGUUGGUGAGGUAACGGCUUACCAAGGCGACGAUGCGUAGCCGACCUGAGAGGGUGAUCGGCCACACUGGGACUGAGACACGGACCAGACUCCUACGGGAGGCAGCAGUAGGGAAUCUUCGGCAAUGGGCGGAAGCCUGACCGAGCAACGCCGCGUGAGUGAAGAAGGUUUUCGGAUCGUAAAACUCUGUUGUAAGAGAAGAACGAAUGUGAAAGUGGAAAGGCAACACUGGGAGGGUACUUUACCGGAAAGGGAGGGCUAACUACGU